This 253-nucleotide ribosomal RNA is filed under the name uncultured bacterium. RNAcentral describes it as "partial 16S ribosomal RNA". It matches the Rfam family "Bacterial small subunit ribosomal RNA", at positions 524 to 776 of the family's 1533-position model. The record is from RNAcentral.
UACGGAGGGUGCAAGCGUUAAUCGGAAUUACUGGGCGUAAAGGGUGCGUAGGUUGUCAAUUAAGUUAUAUGUAAAAUCCCUGGGCUUAACCUGGGCAGGUCAUAUAAUACUGAUAGACUCGAGUAUUGGAGAGGGUAGUGGAAUUUCCGGUGUAGCGGUGAAAUGCGUAGAGAUCGGAAGGAACACCAGUGGCGAAGGCGGCUACCUGGCCAAAUACUGACACUGAGGCACGAAAGCGUGGGGAGCAAACAGG